CUACGGGAGGCUGCAGGCGAGAAAACUUUGCAAUGUGCGAAAGCACGACAAGGUUAAUCCGAGUGGUCUCUGCUAAAGGGACCUUUUGACAGUCCUAGAAACACUGUUGAAUAAGGGGUGGGCAAGUUCUGGUGUCAGCCGCCGCGGUAAAACCAGCACCUCAAGUGGUCAGGAUGAUUAUUGGGCCUAAAGCAUCCGUAGCCCGCUUUGCCAGUUUUCGGUUAAAUCCAUAUGCUCAACAUAUGGGCUGCCGGGAAUACUACAAAGCUAGGGAGUGGGAGAGGUAGACGGUACUCGGUAGGAAGGGGUAAAAUCCUUUGAUCUAUUGAUGACCACCUGUGGCGAAGGCGGUCUACCAGAACACGUCCGACGGUGAGGGAUGAAAGCUGGGGGAGCAAACCGGAUUAGAUACCCUGGUAGUC
This 422-nucleotide ribosomal RNA is filed under the name uncultured archaeon. RNAcentral's name for it is "partial 16S ribosomal RNA". It matches the Rfam family "Archaeal small subunit ribosomal RNA", at positions 323 to 746 of the family's 1478-position model. The record is from RNAcentral.